RNAcentral lists this ribosomal RNA (254 nucleotides) under uncultured prokaryote. RNAcentral's name for it is "partial 16S ribosomal RNA". It matches the Rfam family "Bacterial small subunit ribosomal RNA", at positions 525 to 777 of the family's 1533-position model. The record is from RNAcentral.
ACGGGGGGGGCAAGCGUUGUUCGGAAUUACUGGGCGUAAAGGGCUCGUAGGCGGCCACCGCAAGUCGGUUGUGAAAUCUCCGGGCUUAACCCGGAAAGGUCAACUGAUACUGCGGGGCUAGAGUGCAGAAGGGGCAACUGGAAUCCUCGGUGUAGCGGUGAAAUGCGUAGAUAUCGAGAGGAACACCUGCGGCGAAGGCGGGUUGCUGGGCUGACACUGACGCUGAGGCGCGAAAGCUAGGGGAGCGAACGGGA